This 891-nucleotide long non-coding RNA is filed under the name Homo sapiens (human). Its description in RNAcentral is "non-protein coding lnc-ZC3H12D-14:1". Lineage: Eukaryota; Metazoa; Chordata; Mammalia; Primates; Hominidae. The record is from RNAcentral.
ACGUCUGGAGCCCUUGAUAUCCUGCAAAUGAAGGAGGAGGAUGUCCUCAAGUUUCUUGCAGCAGGGACCCAAUUAGGUGGCAUCAACCUCGACUUCCAAAUGGAACAGUACACCUAUAAAAGGAAAAGUGAAAGCAUCUGCUUCCUAAAUCUGAACAGGACCUGGGAGAAGCUUCUUCUGGCAGCUGGCGCCAUUGUUGCCAUUGAAAACUGUGCUGAUGUCAGUGUCACGCCCUCCAGAAUACUGGCCAGUGGGCUGUGCUGAAGUUUGCUGCUGCCACUGGAGUCACUCCUAUUGCUGGCUGUUUCAUUGUUUCACUCUUGAAACUUUCACUAACCAGACCCAGGCAGCCUUCUGGGAGCCAUGGCUCUUGGCAAUUACUGAUCCCAGAGCUGACCACCAGCCUCUCACAGAGGUGUCUUAUGCUAACCUGCCUACCAUUGCUUUGGGUCACACAGAUUCUCGUCUGCGCUGUGGACAUUGCCAUCCCCUGCAACAACAAGGGCACUCACUCAGUGGGUCUGAUGUGGAAGAUGCCAGCCUGGAAGUUCUGCAUAUGCAUGGCACCAUCUCCUGUGAACACCCAUAGGAGGUCGUGCCUGAUCUCUAUGUCUACAGAGAUCCCAAGGAGAUUAGAAAGAAAGAGCAGGCUGCUGCUAAAAAAGCUGAGGCUAAGGAGGAAUUUCAGGGUGAAGGGACUGCCCUGGCUCCUGAGUGUACUGCUACUCAGCCUGAGGUUGCAGCCUGCUUUGAAGGUGUGCAGGUCACACAGGUGCCCCCUGUGUCUGUUCAGCAGGUCCCUACUGAAGACUAGAGCACUCAGCCUGCCAUGGAAGACUGGUCCACAGCUCCCACUGCUUGGGCCACUGAAUGGGUAUGAAAAACCACUGA